GGAGGCGAACCAGGGGAACUGAAACAUCUCAGUACCCCGAGGAAAAUAAAUCAACCGAGAUUCCCCCAGUAGCGGCGAGCAGACGGGGAGCAGCCCAGAGUCAGCAUCAAUAUUUACCGCAGGAGAAGGGUCUAGAAAAACCGGCAAUAAAGGGUGAUAGCCCCGUAUCUGAAGCGGUAAGUGUUGUGAACUCGAAGAGUAGGGCAGGACACGUGUUAUCCUGUCUGAAUAUGGGGGACCAUCCUCCAAGGCUAAAUACUCCUGACUGACCAAUAGUGAACCAGUACCGCGAGGGAAAGGCGAAAAGAACCCCGGCAAGGGGAGUGAAAUAGAACCUGAAACCGUGUACGUACAAGCAGUGGGAGCACCCGAAGGGGUGUGACUGCGUACCUUUUGUAUAAUGGGUCAGCGACUUAUAUUCUGUAGCAAGGUUAACCGCAUAAGGGAACCGUAGGGAAACCGAGUCUUAACUGGGCGUUAAGUUGUAGGGUAUAGACCCGAAACCCGGUGAUCUAGCCAUGGGCAAGUUGAAG
Molecule: ribosomal RNA, 533 nt
Filed under: Arsenophonus endosymbiont of Trialeurodes vaporariorum
Lineage: Bacteria; Pseudomonadati; Pseudomonadota; Gammaproteobacteria; Enterobacterales; Morganellaceae
Description: partial 23S ribosomal RNA
Rfam family: Bacterial large subunit ribosomal RNA
Source: RNAcentral